GAUGAACGCUGGCGGUAUGCUUAACACAUGCAAGUCGAACGCAGACUUUCGGGUCUUAGUGGCGGACGGGUGAGUAACGCGUGAGAAUCUAGCUUCAGGUUGGGGACAACCACGGGAAACGGUGGCUAAUACCCAAUGUGCCGUUAAGGUGAAAGAUUAAUUGCCUGAAGAUGCGCUCGCGUCUGAUUCGCUAGUUGGUGAGGUAAGAGCUCACCAAGGCGACGAUCAGUAGCUGGUCUGAGAGGACGAUCAGCCACACUGGGACUGAGACACGGCCCAGACGGAUACGGGAGGAAGGAGUGGGGAAUUGACGGAAAAGGGCGGAAGGAUGAAGGAGGAAUACCGCGUGAGAGAGGAAGGCUAUUGGGUUGUAAAAAUCUUGUAACAGGGAAGAAAGGAAUGAAGGGAACUUAGGAAGAAGGACAGGCUAAACCAGUG
This 438-nucleotide ribosomal RNA is filed under the name uncultured bacterium. RNAcentral's name for it is "partial 16S ribosomal RNA". It matches the Rfam family "Bacterial small subunit ribosomal RNA", at positions 28 to 507 of the family's 1533-position model. The record is from RNAcentral.